RNAcentral lists this ribosomal RNA (466 nucleotides) under Vreelandella stevensii. RNAcentral describes it as "partial 16S ribosomal RNA". It matches the Rfam family "Bacterial small subunit ribosomal RNA", at positions 338 to 796 of the family's 1533-position model. The record is from RNAcentral. Lineage: Bacteria; Pseudomonadati; Pseudomonadota; Gammaproteobacteria; Oceanospirillales; Halomonadaceae.
CUUACGGGGGGCUGCAGUGGGGAAUAUUGGACAAUGGGGGGAACCCUGAUCCAGCCAUGCCGCGUGUGUGAAGAAGGCCCUCGGGUUGUAAAGCACUUUCAGUGAGGAAGAACGCCUGGUGGUUAAUACCCAUCAGGAAAGACAUCACUCACAGAAGAAGCACCGGCUAACUCCGUGCCAGCAGCCGCGGUAAUACGGAGGGUGCGAGCGUUAAUCGGAAUUACUGGGCGUAAAGCGCGCGUAGGUGGCUUGAUAAGCCGGUUGUGAAAGCCCCGGGCUCAACCUGGGAACGGCAUCCGGAACUGUCAAGCUAGAGUGCAGGAGAGGAAGGUAGAAUUCCCGGUGUAGCGGUGAAAUGCGUAGAGAUCGGGAGGAAUACCAGUGGCGAAGGCGGCCUUCUGGACUGACACUGACACUGAGGUGCGAAAGCGUGGGUAGCAAACAGGAUUAGAUACCCCAGUAGUCC